RNAcentral lists this ribosomal RNA (168 nucleotides) under uncultured bacterium. RNAcentral describes it as "partial 16S ribosomal RNA". It matches the Rfam family "Bacterial small subunit ribosomal RNA", at positions 1325 to 1500 of the family's 1533-position model. The record is from RNAcentral.
GCUGGAUUCGCUAGUAAUCGCGCAUCAGCCAUGGCGCGGUGAAUACGUUCCCGGGCCUUGUACACACCGCCCGUCAAGCCAUGGGAGCCGGGGGUGCUUGAAGUGCGUCGCCGCAAGGCGCGCCCUAGAGCAAAACCGGUGACUGGGGCUAAGUCGUAACAAGGUAGC